UUGUGAACCUUAUGGCAACAUCAGCUUGAUUUCUGUAUUUAUCUAAGUAUUAUUAUUAUUAUUACUGUAUGAUUAUUCAGUGCUCACAGUAGAUAUCAGUCAUGGGUUAGCUUGUGGUCCUUCAGGGUGGUAAGCACCGUGUAGUGUCCAACGUACACACUCGGGGCAUUACAAACUUGGUCUCAGAGCCUAAGGUUCAACAGAGUCCUAGGAAGUUUGAAAGCCAUAUCUAUUAAAGUCUUGUGCAUGGGUAUGU
This 256-nucleotide long non-coding RNA is filed under the name Capsicum annuum. Its description in RNAcentral is "long non-coding RNA (CANN_LNC012824)". The record is from RNAcentral. Lineage: Eukaryota; Viridiplantae; Streptophyta; Magnoliopsida; Solanales; Solanaceae.